CUGAAUACUGAGUGCCAGGCAGAGACUGAGGAUGGGGUGGAUGGAGAUGCAGGCGGGCGCCGGUGACGCAGGGGCUGUAGCACAGGUCUAAGGGUGUCAACCACGUGCUGCAGGCAAAAAGGGAUGAAAGAAAGGGUUAAGGUAGAGAAGGAUGUGGUCCAAGUUGCAUCUCUAAGGGAUUAUUCUGGCAGUUCUGUGUGGAUCAGAGACCAUCCUGGAUCUGGGAGACCUGGUAGAGGAGGGUAAUCUGGGUGCAGUGAUGGAGAUGGAGCAGUGAGCUUGGAAGCUAGCGAGGAGGUGAAAGUGAACAGGAACUGCUGGAUUAAGGAAGGGAAGCCAGGGAGGGAGACGACUCUAGGAUGGUGUCCAGCUUCCUUGCUGGGGAUCCUGGUAGAACAUUUGUGAGCUGGGACCCAAGGAGAGCUGCUGAUCUGGACAAUAAGGUGGCUUUCUGGACUCAGCACACUCCUUUCCCCAUGUGGUACACAGUUCACUAAGGCUCCCAGAAGUGAAGCAUCAAGGUGUUUAAUCAGCGGUUACUGAAUGAAUGAAAGAAAGAGUAGUUGAAACCGGCCUUCUGACAGCAAAGCUGAGACUCCAAGACACGACAUGGCUUGUACAGGACAUCUCUACAAUUUGAUGGUGGCAGCAGUACUCAGACCCCACUCUCCUGACCUCCAGCCGGAUGACGACUGCUUUCUUUACGUGGGUGAGGAAAUUCGUUAAAAUAAAAAAAUAUGAGCAUGCUUUAUAAAACAUAAAGUGCUCCAGCACGUCAAGAUAUUUUUGGUAUGUGCUUUUCCUGAGCAUCAGUUUUCCUCAUAUAUUCACAGGCAUGGGUUGGUAUCAGUGAUCUCCCCACUCUGUUGUCUGGGGUGAUAUGGAAGGUGCUAUGGUCCAGAAGCAGCUCUCUGUCUCAUGCUUCUCCAAAGAGGGGACGGGAGAUUGGCAAUAAAGCUAUGUCUCUUCUGUCUUCAGAUAUUGCUGGAAAUUUAGUACAUG
This 1002-nucleotide long non-coding RNA is filed under the name Capra hircus (goat). Its description in RNAcentral is "lncRNA (ENSCHIG00000001213.1)". The record is from RNAcentral. Lineage: Eukaryota; Metazoa; Chordata; Mammalia; Artiodactyla; Bovidae.